UUUAUUUAGAGUUUGAUCCUAGCUCAGGAUGAACGCUGGCGGUGUGGAUAAGGCAUGCAAGUCGAGCGCCUCGCAAGAGGAGCGGCAGACGAGGUUGUAACACGUAGGUACGUACCCUAAAGUCAGGAAUAACUCCGGGAAACCGGAGCUAAUACUUGAUAGUCUCUCUUGGAUUUAUCCUUGGGAGUAAAGAUUUAUCGCUUUAGGAACGGCCUGCGGGCUAUCAGCUAGUUGGUAGGGUAACGGCCUACCAAGGCGAUGACGGCUAGGGGAGCUGAGAGGCUGACCCCCAUCGAUGGAACUGAGACACGGUCCAUACACCUACGGGUGGCUGCAGCCGAGAAUAUUCGACAAUGCGCGAAAGCGUGAUCGAGCGACACCGCGUGGUUGAUGAAGUCCUUCGGGAUGUAAAAACCUUUUGUGAGAUAGAAAGUCAUUGAUCAUCUCAAGAAUAAGGGGUUGCUAAACUCGUGCCAGCAGCAGCGGUAAUACGAGUGCCCCAAGCGUUAUCCGGAAUUAUUGGGCGUAAAGGGUGUGUAGGUGGUUGUAUUAGUCUUCUGUGAAAUUCUUCGGCUUAACCGGGGACCCGCAGGGGAAACGGUACAACUAGAGGAUGCGAGAGGUGAAUGGAACUCAUGGAGUAGGGGUGAAAUCCGUUGAUAUCAUGGGGAACACCAAAUGCGAAGGCAGUUCACUGGCGCACUCCUGACACUGAAACACGAAAGCGUAGGUAGCGAAUGGGAUUAGAUACCCCAGUAGUCUACGCCCUAAACGAUCCAGACUGGGUUUUCGGAGUAUCGACCCUCUGAGAGCCGAAGCUAACGCGUUAAGUCUGGCGCCUGGGUAGUACGGCCGCAAGGCUAAAACUCAAAGGAAUAGACGGGGACUUGCACAAGCAGUGGAUUAUGUGGUUUAAUUCGACGGUAAACGAAGAACCUCACCAAGAUUUGAAACCUAGAUGAAUGUUGCAGAAACGUAACAGUCCGCAAGGACAUUUAGGCAGGUGUUGCAUGGUCGUCGUCAGUUCGUGGCUUGAGUUGUUCCCUUCAGUGGGGAAACGAACGCAACCCUCGUUGCCUGUUACAAGUGUCAGGCGAGACUGCCCCCGCAAUAGUUUGUAAAAGACAGCCAGCGCGUUUCAGAAGAAUGUAUCUUCUGAACGAGUUAGCGAAGCGCUUUAGUGAAGAAGAUAUAUUCUUCGCAAAAUGCGUUGUCAUUAUUAAUUAUUUCGGGGGAGGAAGGCGAGGAUGACGCCAGAUCAGCAUGACCCUCUGAUAUCUUGGGCUACACACAUAAUACAAUCGCCGCUACAACGCGACGCAAUGAGGUAACUCGGAGCAAAUCGUUAGAAAAGCGGCGCCAGUUCGGAUUGGGGUCUGCAACUCGACCCCAUGAAGCCGGAAUUGCUAGUAAUCGCAGGUCAGCUAUACUGCGGUGAAUACGUUCUCAAGUCUUGUACUCACCGCCCGUCAACUCAAGGGAGCUGGUAGUACCCGAAGCCCAUCCAUGUGAUGGUCUACGGUAAAAUCAGUAACAGGGAGUAAGUCGUAACAAGGCACGGGUAGCGGAAGCUGCUCGUGGAACAUUUCAAGG
RNAcentral lists this ribosomal RNA (1593 nucleotides) under bacterium. RNAcentral describes it as "bacterial SSU rRNA". It matches the Rfam family "Bacterial small subunit ribosomal RNA". The record is from RNAcentral.